UCCUUCUACCUCUUUGUAGUACAGAGUGGUACAGUUGCAACAGCAGAGGAGUUGUUCCUGACUUCUGGUCUUCAUCCUGCCUCAUGCUAGCAGUAUGACUUUAGGUCUGAAGCAAAGUAUCUGUGCCUGACUCUUACAGGAUUGUGAAAAGUAAAGAGGUUAACAUAUGGCCAAUGCUUUAAACUCUGUGGUGAAGAUGCCAGAGAGUAAUAUUCUACAGAUGGGAAAACUGAGUCCCCGAGAAGCAAACAGGCUUGACUUAAAUCAUGUGACAAUGUUUCACUCUGCCACCCAGACUGGAGCGCAGUGGCAUGAUCUUGGGUUACUGCAACCUCCACCUCCUGGAUUCAAGUGAUUCUCCUGCCUCAGCCUCCCGAGUAGCUGGGAUUAUAGGUGUGAGCCACCACACCCGGCCUAUAUGCAUUAUCUCAUUUAACCAACAUAAUAAUUCUAUGAGGCUUAUAAGCUAUAUUUUUUAAGAUGAGAAAAUGGGCUUAGAUAACUUGAAAGAUAGCGUAGUCACUAGGAGCUUGUGCUCUGUGGCCAGACUUUGUGUGUUUGAAUCCCAGGUCCUCCAGUUCUGAGCUGUAUGACAUUGCGCAAGUGACUUAAUUGCUGUCUCAUGUAUAAAGUGGUGUGAAAAUAAGUACUUAUCAUCAUUGUGAUAAUUAACUAAAUUAAUAGACUCAAAGCCUUGAGAAGAGUGCCCAGCACACAGUAAGCACUUGAUAAAUUACUUGGUGAAUACCCAUCAAGAUUAUAAACACAAUUAAAAACAGUGUAGUGGCAGACCUGGGCCUAGAACUCAGGUCUCUCUGAAGCCGGCGACUUUUCCCUCACCCUUUCACUCUACUGCCUAUAGAAGGAAAAGAGAGAGGAUGUGGCCGGGAAAGGCAGAAGCAAUGUUCUGAAGCGAUUUCUAGCUGCUCAGCAAUAGGAGAGCACCAGAAAGGGAAUUUCUUCCACAUUCCACCCCUGGCCCAUUCUCACCCUCACUGAUUGUAUUUAUUUUAUUUUGAUUAUUUCCAAUUGCUAUCACGGAAAGCCAAAAAUAAGAGUAGCACAACAGUACAUCCUUACUUUUGUGCUGUCUUGGUAAUGCUGUCCGUUAGUGGUAUAUCCUCCCUACCAAUUCUUGCCUGUCCUUUGCAUCCAAUGCUUCUCUUGUCAAAAAGAGAAAAGAAAGAUGGUUUUCCUGAUGUUUCUCAUGAGCAAAUAGCUUCAGAGGGAAAUAUCAUCAAUUCUAUUCAGGGUUUUAAAGGCAUGGGCAUUUAAAUGUUGAAAGGGCACUGUCUAAUGCAAUUUUCUUGACAUAACCCUUUGGACUUGGCUUCAGUUUUGAUGAAACCCACAGGAAAGCUCUCAUCAGCGGCUUGGACAGACAGCUCUUCUCUCACAGCCCUGCCGGAUCAUCUGCACAGGGAGUGGAGGAUGAAUCACGUCCUCUUAUGCUUGCAGCUACCAGCGGUACUCUGGUGGCAGCAAAGUCCAAGGCUCUCUGUAAGACUCCAAGUAAGUUGGAGGUCCCACAUCUGUUACAGAGGGAGUUGUAAAACUCAUGCUACCAGUUUAGAGGACUAAGGCAGCUAUUAAGAUUUUUAUUUUAAUAAUGAUUUAAUUUUUUAAAACUCAGGACCAUAAGAAAAUGUUCACAUGAAUGUAUUUAGAAGGUUUUCAAGUUUUAAUGCAAGAAAUUCAAUGGAUUCAGUCCUGCUGUCAGGCUUCAGCUGAGAUCACAUCCUCUUUGAUUCUCCAGUAUGGGCUGAGAAACACCCUUAUGGGAGUAUGGCUGUUAAAAUGAUACAGGCAAGGGCCUGCCCAGCAGUUGUUGGAAUGUCUUUCCUGGGGCCAGAAGCAUCUUGUUGUUCUGCUGCAGAUGGUUACCACUUUGCCUCAGCCCCCACAGGUUAAAGACCCAGCAAAGACCUCCUACCUGUUGGGUAGGAAACCUGGACUUACAGAUUUGAGUUGCCAAAGGGACACCAAUUUGGACACACUGUGAUUAUUUCUAUAUUACAGCCAAGCCUCCAGAACGGGUGGGUAAUGCUUCAAUUUUCUGGAAGAGGAUACAUUCAAAAAGUGACCUCCUCAAGGACCUUCUUAGUUCAGCCAGUGGUCAGUUGUACUAUCUAGUCUUUGUGUUUUUUGCAAAAGUAUAUAUUGACUGGAUAUAAAUUAAUAUGUGUUAAUGAUACAGGAAAUAGAAAUAAAUUAUUUAGGCAGAUAGUGAGGGUAAGAGAGUCCUUGGCAAGGCUUCCCUUUUAACACAAAGCAACCCCCAAAUCAUUUCUUUUCUAACAAAGAGCAGCCUGAAAAAUUGAGCUGCGGACAUAGAUAAGCAAGCUGGAAGCUUGCACAGGUAAAUGCCAGCAUCUGUGCCAACAAAGUAGGGCUACCUGGAAGCCAGGUAUGUUCAGCAUGGAGUCUUCAUCUUCCCUUUUCUUUGUCACCACCUGUGCAGUAAAGAACCAGGCAACAUGGCACCGGCCAGGUAGAUAACCCAUCUGCAUAAUAAAAGAUUAGGGUGCGGCGGUCCACUUCUUUGUGCACUAUGUAAAUGGCACACCUGGUCCGACCAAUCUUUUGUGCCCUAUGUAAGUCAGACACGGCCUCCUCAAGCUCAUCAAUAAAACCUUCUGCAUUUCACUACGGAAGGGGCAACCUGUUUUUCCAGGACCUCUCUUUCUGCAGCAGAGAGAGCUCUUCUCUUUCUUUUGCAUAUUAAACUUCCACUCUGAACCUCACUCUGUGUGUGUACGUAUCCGUCCUAGUUUUCCGUGGCCAUCAGACAAUGAAUCUUGGGUAUUUACCCCAGACAAAUGACACCGCUUCAUUAAUGUUGGAGCAAAGUGACCCCACAUUUUAUGCAUGGAGUCCAAGAACUUAGCCUUCACUGGCAGACCACAGAGAACACUGAAAGAAUCUGCGGCACAGUGUCCAGGGAUGUUUAGACUCCAUUACCCACCUGUCCCCAACAUGGCCAAUGUUUACUGGAACAAACCUGGGAGCUACUCAAUGUUUUUACUUCAGAAGCUUUGUUGGAAGUGUUUCAAUGGCUCGAGGUUGGCUGCACGAUUUCCUCAGGCCUUGAACAGACCUGUUAUCUACAAAUUCAGCAUGUUCUACCCAACAUCUAGAAUCAUUUAGUCCAAACUCCUGCCCAGUGGGGAAAUCUCUUCCACAAUAAUUCUGAUACUGAAUAUACCCCAGGGCAGCACUCACUAUGCACAGGGUUUGAGAGAAUAAAUAAUCUUUACACUGGAUCAAAGCUUCUUAAGUGAAAAAUGAUAAAAAUGUGAGGUUGAUUCAUCAAUCCACUGUUAAUUCCAGGCUACUAUCCAAUUUGCUAUUAUGUUUGAUCUGGCUUGCUUUUCUGCUGUCUUUAUAAACGCCUCUUUAGAGCUGGGAGUGUGUGUGGAAUUAUAUUUAUGUUAAUUUUCAUACUUCAUAGUAAGCUCAAUCAAAGAGUUGUUUUUUGCUUGAGAGAAGUUAAAACUAACAAUCUAAAUGAAACAAUGGAGUCAUCUACGCAUUUUUCUUAUGCACGCUGUUGUCACUGCCAAUGUUGCUGGUGGGCAAAAUUUAUGAUCGGAGGCUACUAAGGUUUCCUAAUCAGCAAGGCACUUCUUCCCGUACCUUUUUCUCCUAGAAGUGUGAAAAAGUCACUUUACAUGCUGUUGGAAAAAUGUCUAUUUGUCCCGUAGAGAAGUUCGCCAAAACCUAUUAUCUGUUGAAUAACCAAGACUUGUCUAAGGUAAAAUUGCGUUCCAAAACAUUUGGUCUCAAUCAGAGACACACUUGUGCUCAUUUGCUUAAAACUGGGUGCAAGUUUCCAGGAUAUUUGAAUGGAGGCUUCUGUAUUAUCAUCCAAGCUAUUAUUGGCUUCUCAUGUCCCUAGAUCUUUUAAGUAUUCAUCUUUGAUUUAGACAUUGGCAAUUCUCACCCUAAAAAGAAAAUGUUUUAAAACUGUUUUUCCUAUCAAUGGGUGAAAUAUCAUGUAGCCCAUUUCCCCAUGAAAACAAUGCUGCUAGUCAGAGUUUCUCUUUGUUCCAGGUUUUUCACGUUAACGUGGUCUGCGUAGUAAAAUCGUUACUAGUGAAGGGGGUGCCAGAUUUGUGGCACGGCCCUAACACACGUACAUUAGUGAGACCACACACAGAUCAAAAAGAUAAAGGCACGCAUUGCUUUUGAGCAAUGACCCGUGUGCCAAAAAUGAGGUUUCACAUACAAGAGACCAGAAGAAUGUAAAGGUUUUAGUCUCAGGGAAUCAAGAGUUUCAUUUUUUGUUCUAGUCUAUGUUUUAAAAGGAUGAUAGGACAUUAUUUAGCCCCUUUGAUUGUUCUUGUUUCACUAUUUGUAACUGAAAAAGAAAAACAAAAUGCCUUCUUCCUCCCUCCGGUAGCCACUAUAAGAAGUGCAGCGACACAGUGAAGGGCUAGGAACUUUGGCUGGGGGGCCAUACUGGCUGGGCUCACUUCUGCACUCCUCACUGUGUAACUUAGAGUCUCAGUUUUCUGUAAAACAGGAACAAUAGCUGCAACUACUUCAUGAGGUUGUUGUGAGAAUUAACUGAAAUAAUACAGGUGCUCAGCACAGUACAUGGACCCUAGUAGGGUUUCAAUUGCUAUUGUUACAGUAAAAUGUUAUUAUAAUAACAUCAUUAUGCUCCGAAAAUUAAAUUGCAUAAAAUGUGGCAUCAAUUUGCCCCCAAAUUAAUAAAUAUUAAUAUAUUCUUAGUCAAUCUGUACUGUUGCAAAAAGCACAAAGAAGAUUAGAUAGUACAACUGACCACUCGCUCUAUGAGGAGGUCACCUCUUGAAGACAUCCUGUUCCAGAAAAUCAAAGAGUCACCCACCCAUUCUCCAGCUCUUUAUAGGGGUUGGGCUGGAGUAUAGGUACAAUCACUGUGUGUGCAAAUUGACUUAAUUAGGGAGGGGAGGCAUUAUUCAAGGUGUUACUUGUUCAAUUAUUAAGGUUGUUGUCUCAAACCUGCUUUUAACCUUUCUAGUCAGUGACUGUUAACCCUGGAUGCACAUUAGAAUUACCCAAGGAGCUUUAAAGACAUAGUGAUAUCUGGCCCAAGAUAGGAGCAGCAAAAUAUAAUUACUCAGACUUGAGUUCAGAUCUUGUUACCAUCACUUUUUAGUCAUGUGACCUUUGACAAACUAUUAACCUCUCUGUUGGCUGAUCUGUGGGAUGAGUGGCGGGCGGGGGGCGUCAUUGUAGGGACUAAACCAUGUAUUUAAAGCUCUGGGCACACAUCUUGGCAUGUAGCAGGUAUCCAGUAAAUACUUGGUAUUAGAAACCUAUUUUCUCUGAAGACCCCAGCCCAAAGGGUCCCCCCACCUCCACUGAACUCAGUUAUGAAAAUUUUACCUUGAAAUAUAGUCUUGGGCAAAAACUAAGGAAGGUUUCUUAUUUUACGAAUGAGAAAACUAAAGCACAAAAGAGUUGUUCAAAGUUACAUGGCUAAUAAUAAACUAGAAUCUGAACCCAGGUCUCCUAAUUCUUUGACUAUUGUUUUUCUUCCUAUUCCAUAGUUCUUAAUCACAUAACCCCAGAAGCCUCAAAUUCUGGCCCUGGAUGCCGGCAUCAGCCUCAUAUUUUUCCAGUCCCUUCCAGCCUUAGCUUUGUGGUGCAGCAACACCAAAUUGCUGUUUUCUGAUACUCAUAAUUACUGUUUCUCACCUAUUUGCCUUGGCUUAUGUGAUCAUCCCUGCCCUGCCUGAAAUGCUCUCCUUGCCUUGGUUUUCUAGCAACUACACUAACUUCUGCUGCUGACCAUCAAUGAUUAACUGCUACAGCAAUUGUCUUCCCAUUUUAAACAGUUAGAAAUGAGACAAAACGUCAGACAUCGGACAACAAGAUUUUAAUCCCUGUGAGUAGGAAAAUAAAUGGGAUGAGCCCUGUGAUUGCCACACCUUAUACCUGGAGGCAGUUUCCAGGAUACUACCCAUGGUGGAAUAACCAAAACAGCCUAGUGGUCUUGCUAAGUUGAAGAGACAGAGUUUAAAGUCUGGGGAGACUGAGGAGGCUAGAAUUUGCAGGGGAGUUUACCAGAAAGAGGAAACUAGAUAGAAAGGAAGCUCUGGAGAUCUGCAGAGCACUUACCCCAUGUCUUUGGAUGAGUUUUAUUGAUCUGCAUGUGCUCGUGAAGACACUAUGAAGACUGCGGUGAAGAACUCCCUGAAAGCACAGGCUGAACAAUACCUAGAGCUUACAGAGGACCGGGAAUACUUCGUGUUUCUACCAGCCUGAGUGGAGAAACCUCAAAAUACAUAGUGCAUUGGGUGAAGUCCUCAGAUGUGCCAUGCCUUAGUAGUGGAGUAAAUUAGUCCUAUAAUAAAAGCUGCUCUGGAACCACCAUACAAAAUGUAAAAAUGAGCCUUUCAUGAAUCAAACUGAUCUGCCACGAAAUCCAAUGUUCUUUAAAGAAGAGAACACAAUCCAGCACCCAAUAAAAUAAAAUUAACGAUAUCUGUAAUUCAAAUAGUAAUUUGUAGAUAUACCAGAAAGUGUAAAAAUGUGAUUUAUAACAAGAGAGAAAUUAAUCAGUAGAAAUAGAUCAAGAAAUGACAGAGAUAAUGGAAUUAGUAGGCAAGGACCUUAACAAAGUUUAUCCUAUGUUUAAGGAUGUAAAAGAGAACAUAAACACUAUGAAUAGGGAGUAAAACAUAUUAAAAAGACCCAAAUGAAACUUAUAGAGAUGGAAAUAUGAAAUAAAAAAUAAGCUGGAUAGGAUUACCAGCAUCUUAUAUGAUGCAGAAGAAAAAGUCACUGUACCUGAAGACAUAGCAAUAGUAACUAUCCAAAAUGAAUCACAGGUUGGAAAAAAAAAAAAAGGCCAGGCACGGUGGCUCAUGCCUGUAAUCCCAGCACUUUGGGAGCUGAGGAGGGUGGAUCACUUGAGGUCAGGAGUUUGAGACUAGCCUGGCCAACAUAGAGAAACCCCAUCUCUACUAAAAAUACAAAAAUUAGCCAGGCAUGGUGGUUGGUGCCUGUAAUUUCAGCUAUUUGGGAAACUGAGGAGGAGAAUUGUUUAAA
Molecule: long non-coding RNA, 7044 nt
Filed under: Homo sapiens (human)
Lineage: Eukaryota; Metazoa; Chordata; Mammalia; Primates; Hominidae
Description: HSALNT0368882
Source: RNAcentral